RNAcentral lists this unclassified non-coding RNA (299 nucleotides) under uncultured fungus. Its description in RNAcentral is "sequence contains ITS1". Lineage: Eukaryota; Fungi. The record is from RNAcentral.
GUAUUGAAUUUGUAACUCCAAAUCAAUAGCUACUUAUCAGGCAAGAACUUCUUGUCUAUUCCAAUUCCAAUCCACUUGAUAUAUUUUCCUAGUCAUGUAUGUUUGUUUGUUCAGAAAAGACCAGACAGGAGAACAGAGAGAGAGAGAGAGAGAGAUAGAGAAAAAAAGAGUCAGAAGAAGUUGCCUCCUUCAUAUUCCCCCUUCCCCCUCUCUCUUUCCCCCCCAUCCAUUCCCCUCUUCCAACCUUUUCUGUUGUUUAUAAUUCUUUGAUGAUCCCUCCGCAGGUUCACCUACGGAGA